CACAGGAUGUGCUCACACUGGAUACACCUGUGCCUCCUGCACCUGGAUCAAGAAUCAUCACAGCUAGGCCCCCAGGGCUCCUUGGGCCUCCUCUCAAGCCACUCUGACUCCCUGUUGAAAAUUAUCACUCCUCUGUCUGCGUCCCCCAAUGCUGUACAUCGUCAGGAACUUCUACUCACCAUAAAAGGGCCUCACACUAUGGCCUGAAAAAAGACAGGAAGAGGUGCUCACAAGAUGGCUGAUCAGAUGGCUGAGUGAACGUCAUAGCCACGGCACCCUCCCCAGAGGUUUCUGCAGCUGUCCCCACCGCCUUAAUGACAGAUAAGCUUGGCUUAGACAGCCCCGCCUAUGUGCCUGGCAGAGCACAGUCAGCCAGCAAUCAGCCCAGGGGACUCUGGCCAGAGUAACCUAUGGCACAGCCCUUUGAGCAAUCCAGCAACUGGUACAAUCACAUAGGAAAGCUGUCCAGCAGCAUCAGUCAUCACAGGACAGUUAGAAACAGAUCUUUUUAAAAAAAUAAUCGAGCUUUGAGUGUUCUUCAAAGGACAAAGAGUGCAGUUGCCAACUGAGCCAACCAGGGCAAGGAAAAUUCUGAAAACGUCACCACCCCUGAAAUCUUUCCAAGGUUGUACCACCUGAUCCCAGAUGGUGAAAUUACCAGCAUCAAGAUCAGUCAAGUGGAUACCAAUGAAAGCCUCUCCAUUACGCUGAUGGGAGGCAGUGAAACACCCCUGGUCCAUAUCAUCCAACACAUUUAUCAUGAUGGGGUAAAUGCCAGAGAUGGCCAACUACUGCCAGGAGACAUCAUCCUAAACAUCAACAGGAUGGACAUUAGGAACGUCUCUCACAACUAUGCCCUGCAUCUCCUGCGGCAACCCUACCAGGUGCUGUGACUGACCAGGCUGCACAACCAGAAGUUCUGCAGCAGGAACAGUGGACAGACCCUGGGUGCCUACAGACCCCAGGAUGACAGCUGUCAUGUGAUUUGCAACAAAAGUAGCCCCAAGGAACAACUUGGAAUGAAACUGGUGUGCAAGGUGGAUGAGCCUGGGGUGUUUACCUUCAACGUGCUAGAUGGUGGUGUGGCUGAUUGACAUGGUCAGCUGGAGGAGAAUGAUUUGUGUGUUAGCCAUUAAUGGACAUGACCUUCAGUAUGGCAGCCCAGAAAGUGCUGCUUAUCUGAUUCAGGUAUUGCUGGCCCU
This 1202-nucleotide long non-coding RNA is filed under the name Piliocolobus tephrosceles (Ugandan red Colobus). Its description in RNAcentral is "lncRNA (ENSPTEG00000029041.1)". Lineage: Eukaryota; Metazoa; Chordata; Mammalia; Primates; Cercopithecidae. The record is from RNAcentral.